GAUGAACGCUGGCGGCGUGCCUAAUACAUGCAAGUCGAGCGAACAGACGAGGAGCUUGCUCCUCUGACGUUAGCGGCGGACGGGUGAGUAACACGUGGAUAACCUACCUAUAAGACUGGGAUAACUUCGGGAAACCGGAGCUAAUACCGGAUAAUAUAUUGAACCGCAUGGUUCAAUAGUGAAAGACGGUUUUGCUGUCACUUAUAGAUGGAUCCGCGCCGCAUUAGCUAGUUGGUAAGGUAACGGCUUACCAAGGCAACGAUGCGUAGCCGACCUGAGAGGGGGAUUGGCCACAAGGGAAAUUGGAACAGGUACAGACUCCCAAGGGAGGGAGAAGUAGGGAAUUUUUCGGAAAGGGGGGAAGGCCGAAGGAGGAAAGGCGGGUGAGUGAUGAAGGUAUUCGGAUUGUAAAAACGUUGUUUUAGGGAAGAAAAAAAUUGUAAAUAAAUAUGCCCGGUUUGAAGGGAACUAAAUAGAAAGACCCGGGUAAAUACGUG
This 497-nucleotide ribosomal RNA is filed under the name uncultured bacterium. RNAcentral describes it as "partial 16S ribosomal RNA". It matches the Rfam family "Bacterial small subunit ribosomal RNA", at positions 28 to 507 of the family's 1533-position model. The record is from RNAcentral.